CCUACGGGAGGCAGCAGUGAGGAAUAUUGAGCAAUGGGCGAAAGCCUGACUCAGCAACGCCGCGUGGAUGAUGAAGGCCUUCGGGUUGUAAAAUCCUUUUCUGGGGAACGAUAAUGACGGUACCUCAGGAAUAAGUCCCGGCUAACUACGUGCCAGCAGCCGCGGUAAAACGUAGGGGGCGAGCGUUAUCCGGAUUUAUUGGGCGUAAAGCGCACGUAGGCGGCGCUGAAAGUUGGACGUGAAAGCUCCUGGCUUAACUGGGAGAGGUCGUUCAAUACUACAGUGCUUGAGGUUGGAAGAGGAGAGCGGAAUUCCCGGUGUAGUGGUGGAAUGCGUAGAUAUCGGGAGGAACUCCAGUGGCGAAAGCGGCUCUCUGGUCCACACCUGACGCUGAGGUGCGAAAGCGUGGGGAGCGAACGGGAUUAGAUACCCCGGUAGUCCACGCUGUAAACGAUGGAUACUAGGUGUAGGGGGUCAUUUACCCCCUCUGUGCCGAAGCUAACGCGUUAAGCAUCCCGCCUGGGAACUACGAGCGCAAGCUUAAAACUCAAAGGAAUUGACGG
Molecule: ribosomal RNA, 563 nt
Filed under: uncultured bacterium
Lineage: Bacteria
Description: bacterial SSU rRNA
Rfam family: Bacterial small subunit ribosomal RNA
Source: RNAcentral